GUAGGGAAUCUUGCGCAAUGGACGAAAGUCUGACGCAGCGACGCCGCGUGAGCGAUGAAGGCCUUCGGGUCGUAAAGCUCUGUGGGGAGAGACGAAUAAGGUACCGCUAAUACCGGUAUCGAUGACGGUAUCUCCUUAGCAAGCACCGGCUAACUCUGUGCCAGCAGCCGCGGUAAGACAGAGGGUGCAAACGUUGUUCGGAAUUACUGGGCGUAAAGCGCGCGUAGGCAGCAGCGUGUGUCGGGCGUGAAAUCCCACGGCUCAACCGUGGAAGUGCACUCGAAACUGCGCAGCUAGAGUCUCGGAGAGGAAGGCGGAAUGCUUGGUGUAGAGGUGAAAUUCGUAGAUAUCAAGCGGAACACCGGUGGCGAAGGCGGCCUUCUGGACGAUGACUGACGCUGAAGCGCGAAAGCGUGGGGAGCAAACAGGAUUAGAAACCCUAGUAGUCC
Molecule: ribosomal RNA, 449 nt
Filed under: uncultured bacterium
Lineage: Bacteria
Description: bacterial SSU rRNA
Rfam family: Bacterial small subunit ribosomal RNA
Source: RNAcentral